RNAcentral lists this unclassified non-coding RNA (146 nucleotides) under soil metagenome. RNAcentral's name for it is "partial internal transcribed spacer 1". The record is from RNAcentral.
UAAUAAGUGUUUUAUGGCACUUUUUAAAUCCAUAUCCACCUUGUGUGCAAUGUCAGUCGAUCUUCUUCAUGGAGAUCGACCAAACAUCAACCUUUACCUUUUUAACUCUUUGUCUGAAAAAUAUUAUGAAUAAACAAUUCAAAAUA